This is a non-coding RNA of Sus scrofa (pig), 8885 nucleotides long. Lineage: Eukaryota; Metazoa; Chordata; Mammalia; Artiodactyla; Suidae. The record is from RefSeq and is a predicted model, not a curated record.
UGGUUUUUAAGCCAAAGUCCUGCCUUUCUUGGGGUGGCAGCUGACCAAUGACUGAACACCAUAGGGUUACAUGGGGCUUAACCAUUUCCUGCCCAAUGUGGGAUUCCAAGCUUCCUGCUGGGUUGGGUCUGCACUGCAGUCUGGUUGCCCCUUCUGCCUGGUUCUGCUUCCUCUCUUUUUCUUUCACACGUAUUACUCCCUGACAUGGCUGCAACGAACUUGGGCAAGGUUGUACCUGAACUUCAUAAGCUGCUUUGCAGAAGAAAAAAAAAAAAAGCUCCAUUAUUCAGUCACCCACUGGGACUCAAACACAUUUUCCAGUUCUACUGCAAGACUUCAAAAGGUGUUUGUUUUAAUGAACAUGAACAAUUUGGAAUGAUUUCUCUGGAAAGAUGAAAGAAACAGGGAGUAUGCCAGCUCCUGUAGAAAGUCUGUCCUUAAAAUGAAAGCAUGGGGGCACUCUGGAGCUUAGCGCACGCAGCCCAGUCCAUGUAAAGGAAGGUAGGGAGUUGCAGCAGCUGGACACUUUUUUGCACAUGGACACAUGGGCCUAUUCUGCAACGGACACUUGGACACGGAUAUGUUUUGCACACUGGACACACUGCACGUGGACAUACAGGCACAAUUUGCAUGUGCAACACAUUUUGCACACAGAUGCAUGUUUUGCACAAGGGCACUUGCGCACAUGGUCACAUGUUCUGCACACUGGCACACGGACACCCUGUGUACAUGGUCACACGCGCAUGUUUUGCAUGAGGAAAUAUUUUGCUCCUGGAUGCAUGGACGUUUUGCACACAGACACCAUCUGCACAUGGACACACCUCAGGUUUGCAAAAAGAACAUAUACUUUGCGCGCGAACGCUUUUGCCCAGCACAUUCAGCGAUCGCGGAAUGGGACGCAGGUGGACGCGGCGCGGCGCUGGCCUGGAGCCCAGGGAGCCGCGCGGGCGGGAAGGAAACUACAAGUCCCAGCGCGCGGCCACCUUGAGCCGACGCGCGGUGGCGCCGAUUGGCCCCGCCCAGCGGGCGGCGCGGUCCCGGCCCAAGUCCAGGCUCAGGUCCCGUCGGUGCCGGUGGCCGGGCGGCGGAACCGGGGCGCGCGGGAGCCGGCGGCAUGGAGCCCCGCACCGCGGACGGCUGCUUCCUGGGCGACGUGGAUAUGUCUCCCAAAAUUCAUCCUGCUGACAUUUUUAUUCUCAACACGAAUGAAUAAGCUCAGUGUGUUGAAUUCAGGACAGCGCUGCUAUCCCAGCAGAAGCGGAGACCCAUGGCUUCUGGGUGGAGCGCACCCCCGUGCACGAGGCGGCCCAGCGGGGGGAGACGCGUCAGCUGCAGCAGCUGAUCGAGAGCGGCGCCUGCGUCAACCAGGUCACCGUGGACUCCAUCACGCCCCUGCACGCGGCCAGCCUGCAGGGCCAGGCGCAGUGCGUGCAGCUGCUGCUGGCUGCCGGGGCCCAGGUGGAUGCCCGCAACAUUGACGGCAGCACCCCGCUCUGUGACGCCUGCGCCUCAGGCAGCGUGGAGUGCGUGAAACUGCUGCUCUCCUACGGGGCCAAGGUCAACCCCCCCCUCUACACGGCGUCCCCGCUCCACGAGGCCUGCAUGAGCGGAAGUUCUGAGUGUGUGAGGCUUCUUAUCGACGUUGGGGCCAAUCUGGAAGCGCACGACUGCCACUUCGGGACCCCGCUGCACGUCGCCUGCGCCCGCGAGCAUCUGGACUGCGUCAAAGUGCUUCUCAACGCAGGUGCGUUCUGUUCAUACCUGCUUUGCCCAGCGCAGGUGCGCAGUGUUUAUACCCGCUCUGCUCACGGCAGGUGUGUUGGGUUUAGCUCGUCCAUUCCGGGGCAACUCAGGAAAAAACCCAAACGGUUCAGAAAGAGAAAAAAAGAUGAAUUCUCUCCAGGUGACAGCCUUUUGAGCAUAAGUUAUACGUAGUUUUCUCCUAGUGAGUCUCACUCACUUUAAUGCACCACUUCUAAGGCUUUUUGGAGAACACAAUUUGCUCUGCAUAGGGUUGGUCCCUGGAGUGGUUUUUGUUUCUUAUGCAAAGAUAAGAUAUCUGGAUUAGAAGCGGCUGCAGGCCUUCCAGCCGGGCUGGUCGUGGGGUGGCUGGAUCCAGUUUCUGUCGGGCAUCUGCGGUUAGGGUUCCGCGCUCUGCAGGGCGUUUUCCUCUGGCUCCUUUCUUGUGGGUGGAGGAGGGCAUCGAGUCGGGGUUUGACCUUUGUGCUUCCUGAGGACCCCUCGGUAAGCAGACUCCUUUGGAAGCAGAAGGAAACCAGCUGAGACCGAAAGCGUCAGAACUAGAGCAGGUUUCAGGGUCAUUCCGACCCCGGAUUCAGCCGUGUCCUCAAGAACUCGCCCCCUUUGAAGUUCAUGGGUCUGCCUUGCUCCCCCUUCCCUCCAUCCUAGGCCGGCAUCCCUACUGGGGAGAAAUGGGCUGAGCAGAGGGGGCUUCCCUGCAGGCAUUGGCCUUGGGAGCCUUCUGACUGCGUCCUCAUCCCGGGAGAGUGACCUGCUCUCACAGCUUCCUGUGUCCACUGGCCCCAACUGGGUUUGUGUCCAGUCCUCUCCCAGUCCUUUCGGCCAGACUUGGCCACAGGCUGAUCUGCUGGGAUCCGCACAGGAAGUUCUGAACCCAACUCAAAUAUUGUGCCGAGGGAACGUUUUAGCUCGGCCACCUCGUUCAUUCUGAGCAGCCUGGGAGAAAACCCACAUGGUUCAGAAACAGAAAGAGGACCCCUUCCCAGGACCCCUGCCCCAGGCCGCAGAAUGGGAGCUCAGGGGAUGGGCUGGAAGGAGUGGGGGGCACGGCGAUGGCCACGACGGCCUCAACCCUUCAGUUAUGGAGUGAGUCUCCCUCCCUGGGGUGGGCGUGAGGGACGAGGGGGCUGCUCCUGGGGGUCCCUGUGGGGUCAGCCCCUCUGCCAGCUCUCUGCGGCGGACGUCACCCCUGAUUGUCUUCUGACCUCAGGUGGUCUCCUGUGACACCCCUUCCUGGAUCACAUGCGUUCUUUUUCUUAAAGAAAACUAUUUGUUAACCGUGGCAAAUCUCAAACAUGAAGAAGAAGAAGACAGCAGGUGUUUCUUUUUUUUGUCUUUUUAGGGCCACACCCGUGGCAUAUGGAGGUUCCCAGGCUCGGGUCUACACCACAGCCACAGCCAUGCCGGAUCCGAGUCACGUCUGCAACCUACACCACAGCUCAUGGCGACACCAGAUCCUUCACGCACUGAGCGAGGCCAGGGAUCGAACCUGCAACCUCAUAGUUCCUAGUCGGAUUCGUUUCCACUGCGCCACGACGGGAACUCCGUGUUUCUUUUUUAAAGUGGGAUUCUUAGCUUUUUGUGGGGUGGGUCACGGACCUCUUGGAACAUCUUUUUUUUUUUUUUUUUUUUUGCCUUUUCUAGGGCCAUUCCUGUGUCAUAUGGAGGUUCCCAGGCUAGGGGUCUAAUCGGAGCUGUAGCCACCGACCUAUGCCAGAGCCACAGCAAUGUGGGAUCUGAGUCGUGUCUUUGACCCACACCACAGCUCACGGCAACGCCGGCUCCUUAACCCACUGAGGAAGGCCAGGGAUCAAACCCGCAACCUCAUGGUUCCUAGUCAGAUUCGUUAACCGCUGCGCCAUGACGGGAACUCCGGAACAUCUGUUUUUUAAUUUUUAUGGCCACACAUGCAGCACAUGGAAACUCCCGGGCCAGGGACUGAAUCUUAGCCGCAGCUUUCGGCAUCACAGGACUGGGGAUCAAGCGACUGGAGCCGCUGCAGUCAGGUUCUUAACUCACUGUGCCACUGUGGGAACUCCCCCUUGGAACAUCUAACGAGAGCUGCGGACCAUGUCUCUAGAAAUGUACAGAGCAGGUGUUCUGCGUGAGAUUUCAGAGAGGGUCCCAGCUGGGCUGGGGGGCCCCGUGGUGCCUCCCCCAGUGGGUGCAGAGGCCGUGGGUCUUUUGUGUGCAGACCACACGUGGCAGUCGCCUGGACUUCCAGACCAAGCUGCUGAGCUGAGGAUUAUUUGUGCUGAGGGUGAAAGUCCAGUUGCUUUGGGCGGGGUAAUUUUUAAUCUGAUCCCUGGCAGUAAGUGCUUCGCUGUGCUGAGAGCAUCCAGAAGGAGCUGGUCACCCGUGUCUCUGCUGUCGCCUCAGCAAGUACAUCCCCAGCCCCUGUGCUCGCCACCCCGUCCGGGCAUCACGCUGGGUGCUUGGCGGGCAUGGGACAGCCCUCGUCUUCGUUUCCUAAGGCGGUGCUGGGUCCACUCUAAUCCGCUUUUGCUCAGAAAUCAGGCUUCUGACGGUGAGCAAACCCUGACCCCUUUUUCUGAUGGUGAGCUGCGGGGGUUUAGGGCCCAGCCAGCACCUGGUGCUUUGCUGGCUCGGGCUCUUGUCCUCAGUCCAGGCAAUGCCAUCGGUGGUCCCCACAAAGCCACUUUCUCCCUGGCUUCUCCGUCCCUUCUUUCUCCUGCCCCACCCUCACCCCACUUCUUUUUUCUUUUUAGGGCCGCGCCCGAAACAUAUGGAGGUUCCCAGGCUAGGGGUUGAAUUGGAGCUGCAGCUGCCGGCCUACACCACAGCCACAGCCACAGCCACGCCAGAUCCUUAACCCAUUGAUUGAGGCCACGGAUCAAACCCACAUCCUCAUGGAUAUAAGUCAGGUUCUUAACCCACUGAGCCUCCACGGGAACUCCCUGGGAACACCUUUUAAACAGACCCCAUCUUAUACCUCGGAACAGUCACCCUGCCGAGCCUUGUGUGCCAAGAAACCACAGUGGGUGGUAGGGACAGUUCUCUCCUCGACUGUGACAGUGACUCUGCUUCCCCACGCCCCCUUCUCUAAAACAGAGGCCAUCUCUCUCCUCCCUGAUUGGCAAGAAUACUUUGAGAAUUAAUGAUCUUAGAGAAAGUCACCCGGUCUUUAGAUUCUGCAGACUUCGCAGCUUAUUUCUCAUUACAAGUUUGCAUUUAACCUUCAAAUUCAUAUUUGCAUUGUGACUGCAACACCGUGGCAUUAUCUGCUCUCACCGGCAACACUGGAAGAAACCCCUGAUGGGGUAGAUUGGAUGGAUUGUGGGGGAAAUGCUUCUUUUAUAGGGGUUGAUUUGUAAUCCAUAUCUGCCAAGUUACACAACUAGGUUAUUCAUCCUGCGUCCUAACUGGGGAAUGUUUUCGCCUGAUCUGCCGUCUGAGUUUGGGCUGCGGGAAGUGGAGGGGGCUUUUCUUCACGAGUGCUACGUGUUGGCGUGCUUGCUCUUAGCAUCACAGGACCGCAGGAGGAACACAGGUCUUACAUUCCACCAGGGGAUUAAAAUGAUCUUAAGCCAGAAUACAGAAAGCAGGGUUUUUCGAGUAUUUUUGAGCAGAGGGACUAGACAUUCUAAGAGCCUUAUUCGCCCUCAUUCUUCCUGUUUGACCCUCCAAAUUUCCCAUUAUGGUGACACGCUGGUGAUCCAAUUUAUUUUAAGGCCCACCUUGAUAAUAUUUUAUGAUGGAUUGCAAUCUGUUACAUUGGGGCAACACCUUCCCUGAUGCUGGGCUCUUUGCUGCUUCUUGAAAAGAUUCUCCACCUUCUUUCUCUUGUAACCUCCUAAUCUACUCGGGAGCAGGCUGCGAAGAAGUUGGAAUUUUCUUUCAAAAACAAUGCUGAGGCUCCAGGAGACCCACUGGAUAGAAUCAUGAUGGCUGUGCCCUAAGAACGGGGUUUUACACAAAUCAUGUUCUCAUCAAAGUCUUUUUAUUUUUGGCCACACCCACAGAAUACAAAAGUUCCUGGGCCAGGUGUCAAACUCGAGCCACAGCAGUGACCCAAACCACCGUGGUGACAACGUGGCAUUGCACCACAAGAGGACUCCCUAUUUUUUUUGUCUUUUUAGGACCGCACCUGCAGCAUAUGGAAGUUCCAAGGCUAAGGGUCCAAUCGGAGCUACAGCUGCCGGGCUACACCGCAGUCACAGCAACGCCAUAUCUGAACCGCAUCUGUGACCUACACCACAGCUCAUGGUAACGCUGGAUCCUUAACCCACUGAUCGAGGCCAGGGAUCGAACCCGCAUCUUCACGGAUACCAGUCAGGUUCGUUACUGCUGAGCCACGACGGGAACUCCUGUUUUUGUUUAAUGCAUCUAAAAAUGCUGCUUUAGCUACGACCUGGCGUCUUUCUGAUCAUCUCCUGCAUCCCGAGGACGCGGUGGCUGGCCGAGCUGAACUCACGGUUAAGGUAUCUCCUCUCCAUCCGAACUCCAGGGAAUCUGGGGCAACCUUCCGGCUUUUCCCUGGAGCUUCCGUUUUGUAGACGGUUUCUUGUAUUUAGUGCUUAUUCAUUCACCCAUUUUUAGAGCCUCCGUCCUGUGUGUGUGUGGCGUGUGCCUGCCUAUGCCAUGUGUGCCCGAGCACACGUGUAUCUGAGGUGCGUGCAGCUGUGUACCGGUGUGCACACGCGUGUGCAUGUGUGUGUGUCUGUGGAGGACGACAGCAGCGCUUGAGCAGCUCAGCCGGAGCGUCCAGAACCUCAGACCCGAGGACAGACUGCCUCCGGCUUUAGAGCAGCCUCUCAACUCACAGGGAAGGUUCCUUCUUGUUCUUUCCGGCUCUGUUUCUAGUCGUAUUUCCUUUUUAAAUUUUUUUAUAUUUAUUUAUUUAUUGCUCAAUGAAUUUAUGACAUUUAUAGUUGCACUUUUUUUCUUUUUAAAUUUUUUUUAAUUAAAAAAAUUAUUUGUAGUCAUAUUUCUUGAUCGCUGCUCCCCCGUCCUUAGCGCUCUCAUCCUGGCGGAAACCCCAGGAGUCGCUGCUCCGGGACGCGGAAGGCGGCUUUGAAGGGGCAGCGGCAGGUCUGGAUCUUGUGUCGCGGGCGGGGCUGCCUUGGUGUCCCGCGCUCCUGGUGAACCCUCUUCCCGCUCGGCACCCGCAGGGGCCAACGUGAACGCGGCCAAGCUCCACGAGACGGCGCUGCACCACGCGGCCAAGGUGAAGAACGUGGACCUGAUCGAGAUGCUCGUCCAGUUCGGGGGCGACAUCUACGCGCGGGACAACCGGGGGCGGAAGCCGUCCGACUACGCGCGGAGCAGCAGCGCCCCCGCCAGGUGCCUGGAGCACUACGAGAAGACACCUCUGACCCUGUCCCAGCUCUGCAGGGUGAGCCUGCGGAGGGCCACCGGCGUCCGAGGCCUGGAGAAAAUCGCCAAGCUGAACAUCCCUGCCCGGCUCAUUGAGUACCUCUCCUACAACUGAGCUGCCGACACGGCGUCGGGGCCGGCGGGGGACUCCUGGCUGCUGGCCUUGCUGGGCCCAGCGACAGGGGGCUCUGCCCUGGCUGCCCGAGCCGUGCCACUGGUGGAGAGAACAGCGUGCCCGACCGCCCUGUCCGGUCUUCUCUCAGACGCGGAGGAAGCUCCCGAAGCCUUGGGAAGCCCUGGACCUCAGUCUAACUCUGCCAUUGUCCCCUGUCGUGCACACACCUUCCUCAGAGACUCAGGAGCACAGGGCAAUGCCGGGCAGGGCUGGGCCGGGCUGGGGUUCCACGGCCCUGACACUAAUUCCACACGCCCAGGAGCCACCCCCCCAAUCCUUCAGCACCAGGCGCCCCUGGAGUUCAAAGGGAGGAGGCUGGGUUGCAGGGGCGGGUCCUGGGGUGGCGGAGGGGGGAGGUCCUGACCGUGUGGCCAGGACACUGCUUGGGGACAGCCUGCCACGUGGAGGCCGUUUUCCGGAGCCAUGGUCAGCCCUUCCCGAGGCCUGCUGCGCCCAGGUAUAGCUGUCACUCAGGGCUUUAUAGGGUCUUAGGAAGCCUCAGGCUUUUUAUUCCCCACGACAAGCACCAUGUUUCUUAGGAAGUUUUCCUCCAGUUGGAGGUCUCGACUCUUCAAAGUUUAUGUUGGGGACAGAAACUCUUAGAGGACACACAGCUGUAACACUUAGAUUCUGUUAACGCAUCUUUAAAGCAACGGUAACAGGAAGGUGUCCGACGGGUAGCGCUGUGGGACACUCUUCAGAGACCAUUUCUUGUCCUUUUCUACAGUUGCCAAAUGAAUCCUUUUCCCACCCUCGAUUUUGCUAAUUCCUCGAAGCUCUGAAAUUGGCAGCCAGGCCGCCGGCACCUGGUGGCGUCUGUCAACUGCGGCUUCGUGCAUUUGGCAGAUGCGUGAGGAGCCCCGAUGACGCUUCGAGCUGGUCUCAGCGCUUUGAACCGGCGAGGAGCCAGACACGCCGUCCAGACAGAGGAAGCGGAUGCUGCCGUCUGUCCCUGUAGUGACAGAAACGCGUCGCUCCACCUUACAAGCCAUGAAACUAUGUGCCAUGUUCAGACGGCACCUGUCUGCCCAAGAUUCUGCACUGUCAUUUAAAGAACAAAACCCCAAACCCGGGCGUUAAACUAGAGGGCAUUUAUACAAGUAACUGAGGUGUGUUUGGUGUCGGGGCAGAUGGAGGCGGUGCCUUUGUGAACGUUAGAGUGGGUUGUGCCUAAAGCCAGCGUCCCCAGAAAUGUCCCUCCCCAGCUUCCCCCAGGGAGCGUGGGGAAGAGAAUGGGCCAGGGUAAUGCCAGCUGUGCUCCCCGCCAGAGGUGGCUCCUGGCAGGGCCCCUUGGGUGGAAAGUCCCACGCUGGUGGCCGUGGGUGUUUUCCAGCUUUGCUGGUCCUGAGCGUUGUCACAGGGCAGCUAAGCUGUGCCUGGAGAUAAGAGCCACUCCCAUUCGGCUGCAGCUGUAGAUGCACGUUCUAGAUCAAUCAGCGUAUCUGCAUGUGCCAGUAACAAUGGAAACACAAGCAUCGGGUUCUGCCCAGUGUGUCUGUAACAGGAACUUGCUUCUUCGCCAUGAAAGCUGCUGACUUUUCUGCAUGUGGAGCGUCCGGGGAGAAUCUGGCCCCCACACCCACGGCUCAAUAAAAGGUGUUGAUGAGAAGUC